RNAcentral lists this ribosomal RNA (763 nucleotides) under uncultured bacterium. RNAcentral's name for it is "bacterial SSU rRNA". It matches the Rfam family "Bacterial small subunit ribosomal RNA", at positions 53 to 862 of the family's 1533-position model. The record is from RNAcentral.
ACAUGCAAGUCGAACGAACCUUCGGGUUAGUGGCGGACGGGUGAGUAACGCGUGAGAAUCUGCCCUCAGGAGGGGGAUAACGGUUGGAAACGACCGCUAAUACCCCAUAUGCCUAUUGGUGAAAUGAAUUUCGCCUGAGGAUGAGCUCGCGUCUGAUUAGCUAGUUGGUGAGGUAACGGCUCACCAAGGCUUCGAUCAGUAGCUGGUCUGAGAGGAUGAUCAGCCACACUGGGACUGAGACGCGGCCCAGACUCCUACGGGAGGCAGCAGUGGGGAAUUUUCCGCAAUGGGCGAAAGCCUGACGGAGCAACGCCGCGUGAGGGACGAAGGCCUCUGGGCUGUAAACCUCUUUUCUCAAGGAAGAAGAUAUGACGGUACUUGAGGAAUAAGCCACGGCUAAUUCCGUGCCAGCAGCCGCGGUAAUACGGGAGUGGCAAGCGUUAUCCGGAAUUAUUGGGCGUAAAGCGUCCGCAGGCGGCUUUUCAAGUCUGCUGUUAAAGCGUGGAGCUUAACUCCAUCAUGGCAGUGGAAACUGAAAGGCUUGAGUAUGGUAGGGGCAGAGGGAAUUCCCGGUGUAGCGGUGAAAUGCGUAGAUAUCGGGAAGAACACCAGUGGCGAAGGCGCUCUGCUGGGCCAUUACUGACGCUCAUGGACGAAAGCCAGGGGAGCGAAAGGGAUUAGAUACCCCUGUAGUCCUGGCCGUAAACGAUGAACACUAGGUGUCGGGGGAAUCGACCCCUUCGGUGUCGUAGCUAACGCGUCA